This 168-nucleotide ribosomal RNA is filed under the name uncultured bacterium. RNAcentral describes it as "partial 16S ribosomal RNA". It matches the Rfam family "Bacterial small subunit ribosomal RNA", at positions 199 to 353 of the family's 1533-position model. The record is from RNAcentral.
GACCAAAGAGGGGGACCUUCGGGCCUCUUGCCAUCGGAUGUGCCCAGAUGGGAUUAGCUAGUAGGUGAGGUAACGGCUCACCUAGGCGACGAUCCCUAGCUGGUCUGAGAGGAUGACCAGCCACACUGGAACUGAGACACGGUCCAGACUCCUACGGGAGGCAGCAUG